RNAcentral lists this ribosomal RNA (492 nucleotides) under uncultured bacterium. RNAcentral's name for it is "partial 16S ribosomal RNA". It matches the Rfam family "Bacterial small subunit ribosomal RNA", at positions 29 to 507 of the family's 1533-position model. The record is from RNAcentral.
AGUGAACGCUGGCGGUAGGCCUAACACAUGCAAGUCGAACGGCAGCACAGUAAGAGCUUGCUCUUACGGGUGGCGAGUGGCGGACGGGUGAGGAAUACAUCGGAAUCUACUUUUUCGUGGGGGAUAACGUAGGGAAACUUACGCUAAUACCGCAUCCGAUCUACGGGUGAAAGCAGGGGAUCUUUGGACCUUGCGCGAUUGAAUGAGCCGAUGUUGGAUUGGCUAGUUGGCGGGGUAAAGGCCCACCAAGGCGAGGAUCCGUAGCUGGUCUGAGAGGAUGAUCAGCCACACUGGAACUGAGACACGGUCCAGACUCCUACGGGAGGCAGCAGUGGGGUAUAUUGGACAAUGGGCGCAAGCCUGAUCCAGCCAUACCGCGUGGGUGAAGAAGGCCUUCGGGUUGUAAAGCCCUUUUGUUGGGAAAGAAAAGCAGCAGGUUAAUACCCCGCUGUUCUGACGGUACCCAAAGAAUAAGCACCGGCUAACUUCGUG